RNAcentral lists this long non-coding RNA (201 nucleotides) under Helianthus annuus (common sunflower). RNAcentral's name for it is "sRNA HanXRQr2_Chr03g0133001". The record is from RNAcentral. Lineage: Eukaryota; Viridiplantae; Streptophyta; Magnoliopsida; Asterales; Asteraceae.
GGAGCCCAGUAAAAGCUAUCUGUACUUGCUUGGUGGUAUACGGCUGGGAUUAAAUUUAUAUUUAGCUCAGCUUAAUGACCAUGUCCCGGAUAUCCUUACUAAGUGCAGGUACUAUGCGUAAUAGGCUGGUUUCUCCUAGCAUCAAAUAGAAGUCUCGCAAGCUUAGAUGCCUGAAGUCUGUUGAACAAUGUUUUAUUUUAU